UCCAGAAGUCCAGGUGAAAGAUGAGCCUC
Molecule: non-coding RNA, 29 nt
Filed under: Homo sapiens (human)
Lineage: Eukaryota; Metazoa; Chordata; Mammalia; Primates; Hominidae
Source: RNAcentral